CGUGCUUAACACAUGCAAGUCGAACGAUGAAGGAGGGCUUGCUCUCUGGAUUAGUGGCGAACGGGUGAGUAACACGUGAGCAACCUGCCCCUGACUCUGGGAUAAGCGCUGGAAACGGCGUCUAAUACUGGAUAUGAGCUCCUGCCGCAUGGUGGGGGUUGGAAAGAUUUUUUGGUUGGGGAUGGGCUCGCGGCCUAUCAGCUUGUUGGUGAGGUAAUGGCUCACCAAGGCGUCGACGGGUAGCCGGCCUGAGAGGGUGACCGGCCACACUGGGACUGAGACACGGCCCAGACUCCUACGGGAGGCAGCAGUGGGGAAUAUUGCACAAUGGGCGGAAGCCUGAUGCAGCAACGCCGCGUGAGGGAUGACGGCCUUCGGGUUGUAAACCUCUUUUAGCAGGGAAGAAGCGAAAGUGACGGUACCUGCAGAAAAAGCACCGGCUAACUACGUGCCAGCAGCCGCGGUAAUACGUAGGGUGCAAGCGUUAUCCGGAAUUAUUGGGCGUAAAGAGCUCGUAGGCGGUUUGUCGCGUCUGCUGUGAAAUCCCGAGGCUCAACCUCGGGUCUGCAGUGGGUACGGGCAGACUAGAGUGCGGUAGGGGAGAUUGGAAUUCCUGGUGUAGCGGUGGAAUGCGCAGAUAUCAGGAGGAACACCGAUGGCGAAGGCAGAUCUCUGGGCCGUAACUGACGCUGAGGAGCGAAAGGGUGGGGAGCAAACAGGCUUAGAUACCCUGGUAGUCCACCCCGUAAACGUUGGGAACUAGUUGUG
Molecule: ribosomal RNA, 768 nt
Filed under: Microbacterium sp.
Lineage: Bacteria; Bacillati; Actinomycetota; Actinomycetes; Micrococcales; Microbacteriaceae
Description: bacterial SSU rRNA
Rfam family: Bacterial small subunit ribosomal RNA
Source: RNAcentral